GACUUAAAAUCCGUCGAUUUUUUAAAUUGUGAGG
RNAcentral lists this transfer RNA (34 nucleotides) under Tribulus terrestris. RNAcentral's name for it is "partial tRNA-Leu". Lineage: Eukaryota; Viridiplantae; Streptophyta; Magnoliopsida; Zygophyllales; Zygophyllaceae. The record is from RNAcentral.